AGCAGCCGCGGUAAUUCCAGCUCCAAUAGCGUAUAUUAAAGUUGUUGCAGUUAAAAAGCUCGUAGUUGAAUUUCGGGGUUAGUAGGUUGGUCAUGCCUCUGGUAUGUACUGGUCUCACUGAUUCCUCCUUCCUUAUGAACCGUAAUGCCAUUAAUUUGGUGUUGCGGGGAAUUUGGACUGUUACUGUGAAAAAAUUAGAGUGUUUAAAGCAAGCUAACGCUUGAAUACAUUAGCAUGGAAUAAUGAAAUAGGACGUUCGAUCUUAUUUUGUUGGUUUCUAGGAUUGACGUAAUGACUAAUAGGGAUAGUUGGGGGCAUUAGUAUUCAAUUGUCAGAGGUGAAAUUCUUGGAUUUAUUGAAGACUAACUACUGCGAAAGCAUUUGCCAAGGAUGUUUUCAUUAAUCAAGAACGAAAGUUAGGGGAUCGAAGACGAUCAGAUACCGUCGUAGUCUUAACCAUAAACUAUGCCGACUAGGGAUCGGAUGAUGUUAAUUUUUUAAUGACUCA
This 508-nucleotide ribosomal RNA is filed under the name Glomus hoi. RNAcentral's name for it is "SSU rRNA". It matches the Rfam family "Eukaryotic small subunit ribosomal RNA", at positions 569 to 1078 of the family's 1831-position model. The record is from RNAcentral. Lineage: Eukaryota; Fungi; Glomeromycota; Glomeromycetes; Glomerales; Glomeraceae.